This 468-nucleotide ribosomal RNA is filed under the name uncultured bacterium. RNAcentral's name for it is "partial 16S ribosomal RNA". It matches the Rfam family "Bacterial small subunit ribosomal RNA", at positions 28 to 507 of the family's 1533-position model. The record is from RNAcentral.
GACGAACGCUGGCGGCGUGCUUAACACAUGCAAGUCGAACGGCAAGGCCCUGCUUUCGUGGGGUGCUCGAGUGGCGAACGGGUGAGUAACACGUGAGUAACCUGCCCUUGACUUUGGGAUAACUUCAGGAAACUGGGGUUAAUACCGGAUAGGAGCCCCUGCUGCAUGGUGGGGGUUGGAAAGUUUCGGCGGUCGGGGAUGGACUCGCGGCUUAUCAGCUUGUUGGUGGGGUAGUGGCUUACCAAGGCUUUGACGGGUAGCCGGCCUGAGAGGGUGACCGGCCACAAUGGGACUGAGAGACGGCCCAGACGCCUACGGGAGGCAGCAGUGGGGAAUAUUGCACAAUGGGCGGAAGCCUGAUGCAGCAACGCCGCGUGCGGGAUGACGGCCUUCGGGUUGUAAACCGCUUUCGCCUGUGACGAAGCGUGAGUGACGGUAAUGGGUAAAGAAGCACCGGCUAACUACGUG